AAUGGCUCUCUGGCGGAUAUAUUUCAGCCGGAGUUCAUCAGCAGAAUAAGCCGACACAAAGCAGUCUUUUCUUUCGCUCUGCCUGCGUAUGCUGCUUUUCUUUCUAACUUCUCUUGCUUCAUGUGUGUUUUUUCAGACAUUGAGCUCUGUUGCUUUCAGCCCCCCCCCCCCCCCCUCAUUUCUCCUGCCAUGUCUCUGAAGAGAUUUGGAACAAGGGGGAAGCCUUCAGCACCUGCUCAGGUUUGCUGCGGGUCGGAGGGGUGCCCAUUUACAUGGUACCAUCCCACUGGCACCGGGAAGACUUCCAUUAUAGGGCUCGGCAUGGACGGUGCUUUAGAAGUCGUGCCGGUCAUUCAUUGUGAAGUGUGUCCUGCUGUGGUGAGAGGCGUUCCUGUUCCAUCGGAAGAUGGAUGGAAAGGCUGCUGGACUUUGGUUCGAAUUAUCCUGGAAAAUUUGAAUAAACACGAUGAGUUACUAUGAACACAUACAAGGCACACCAGAUAACUUUAUGUUUUCUUCUAGGAAAUGUCUUAUGCGGGUCGGCCCAUGAUCUCUCUUCAGCUCAUUAAAAUGUAAUGCUGCUGGCCAGCUCUAUGGAACAGUGCCUCCUAACCAAAGUUCAUUACUCCUGCGUGCAGGUAGGCCUUUUUCACCUUGU
Non-coding RNA from Misgurnus anguillicaudatus (oriental weatherfish), 658 nucleotides. The record is from RefSeq and is a predicted model, not a curated record. NCBI's taxonomy places the organism in Eukaryota, Metazoa, Chordata, Actinopteri, Cypriniformes, Cobitidae.